UAAAGCUAAAAAGAGCGCAGGGCGGAUGCCUUGGCAUUGGGAACCGAUGAAGGACGUGGUUAACUGCGAAAAGCUGCGGUGAGUUGUAAGCGAACAUAGACCCGCAGAUAUCCGAAUGGAGCAAUCCAUAUGAGUGAAGCUCAUAUAUCAUAUACUGAAUCAAUAGGUAUAUGAAGGGAACCUCCUGAACUGAAACAUCUAAGUAGGGAGAGGAAGAGAAAUCAACCGAGAUUUUGUGAGUAGUGGCGAGCGAAAGCGAAAGAGGCCAAACCGUAAUCAGCAAUGAAUACGGGGUUGCGGACUGCAUUUAGCAUUGCUGAGCUUUAAUAGAACAGGAUGGGAAGCCUGACCGAAGAGUGUGAUAGUCACGUAAAUGAAAGAGUGAAGCAGCGAGCAGUAUCCAGAGUACCGCGGGACACGUGAAACCCCGUGGGAAGCUGGGGGGACCACCCUCCAAGCCUAAAUAUUCCCCAAUGACCGAUAGCGAAGAGUACUGUGAAGGAAAGGUGAAAAGGACCCCGGGAGGGGAGUGAAAAAGAACCUGAAACCCUGUGCUUACAAGCACUGAGAGCACGUCAAUGUGUGAUCAGGUACCUUUUGUAGAAUGGUCCGGCGAGUUAUCAUAUGUAGCGAGGUUAAGUACUUAAGGUACGGAGCCGCAGCGAGAGCGAGUCUGAAAAGGGCGAUAAAGUUGCAUGUGAUAGACCCGAAACCGAGUGACCUAGCCAUGUCCAGGCUGAAGUGGAGGUAAAACUCCAUGGAGGGCCGAACCGACCCCCGUUGAAAAGGUGGCGGAUGAGGUGUGGCUAGCGGAGAAAUUCCAAUCGAACUCGGAUAUAGCUGGUUCUCCCCGAAAUAGGUUUACGCCUAGCCUCGUGGUAAAGCUUCUUGGAGGUAGAGCACUGAAUAGACGAUGGCGUCGUAUAGAUGUACUGAAUUUAAUCAAACUCCGAAUGCCAGGAAAGUAUACACGGGAGUCAGUGUAUGGGUGAUAACGUCCAUACGCGAGAGGAAAACAAUCCAGACCACCAGCUAAGGUCCCAAAUUUCAUGUUAAGUGGGAAAGGAUGUGGAGUUGUCUAAACAGCUAGGAGGUUGGCUUAGAAGCAGCCAUCCUUUAAAGAGUGCGUAAUAGCUCACUAGUCGAAUGACACUGCGCCGAAAAUGUACCGGGGCUAAACAUGAAACCGAAGCUGUGGAUUUUAUAGAUAAUAUAAAAUGGUAGGGGAGCGUUCUAAUUGCGACGAAGAUGGAUCGUGAGGACUGUUGGAGCGAUUAGAAGUGAGAAUGCCGGUGUGAGUAGCGCAAGAAGGGUGAGAAUCCCUUCCACCGUUUGCCUAAGGGUUCCUGGGGAAGGUUCGUCCUCCCAGGGUAAGUCGGGUCCUAAGACGAGGCCGAAAGGCGUAGCCGAUGGACAACAGGUUGAUAUUCCUGUACCACCUAUAUAACUGAUGGAGUGACGAAGGAGGCUAUAGAAAGCCAGUUAAUGGAUUCUGGUCUAAGCACAUAGGCGUACAUAUAGGCAAAUCCGUAUGUAAUGUAGCUGAAGUGUUAUGGUGAAGGUAAUAGCAAUAUUACUGAAAUUUCUAGACGCCAAACUUCCAAGAAAAGCUUCUAGGGUUAAUUAUAUAGGUGCCCGUACCCAGAACCGACACAGGUAGGCAAGGAGAGUAUCCUAAGGUGAGCGAGAGAACUAUGGUUAAGGAACUCGGCAAAAUGACCCCGUAACUUCGGGAGAAGGGGUGGUCUAGCGAUAGACCCGCAGUAAAGAGUCCCAGGCAACUGUUUACCAAAAACACAGCUCUCUGCUAAAUCGAAAGAUGAUGUAUAGGGGGUGACACUUGCCCAGUGCUGGAAGGUUAAGAGGAGAGGUUAGUAAUGACUUCGGUUAUAUUUACGAAGCUUCGAAUUGAAGCCCCAGUGAACGGCGGCCGUAACUAUAACGGUCCUAAGGUAGCGAAAUUCCUUGUCAGGUAAGUUCUGACCCGCACGAAAGGCGUAAUGAUUUGGGCACUGUCUCAACAGCCCGCCCGGCGAAAUUGUAGUACCGGUGAAGAUGCCGGUUACCCGCGACAAGACGGAAAGACCCCAUGGAGCUUUACUGUAGCCUAAUAUUGGGUUUCGAUGUUGCAUGCACAGGAUAGAUGGGACUCUGGGAAACCAGUGCUUUGGCGCUGGCGGAGAGGCCGUUGGGAUACCAUCCUUGCGAUAUUGGAAUUCUAACCUGCGGCUCUGAAUCGAGUCGGGGGACAUUGUUAGGUGGGCAGUUUGACUGGGGCGGUCGCCUCCUAAAAAGUAACGGAGGCGUUCAAAGGUUCGCUCAGCUUGAACGGAAAUCAAGCAAAAGAGUGCAAACGCAGAAGCGAGCCUAACUGCGAGACUGACGGGUCGAGCAGUAACGAAAGUUGGAGUUAG
This 2414-nucleotide ribosomal RNA is filed under the name human gut metagenome. Its description in RNAcentral is "bacterial LSU rRNA". It matches the Rfam family "Bacterial large subunit ribosomal RNA", at positions 1 to 2415 of the family's 2925-position model. The record is from RNAcentral.